This 91-nucleotide small nucleolar RNA is filed under the name Helicosporidium sp. ATCC 50920. RNAcentral describes it as "Small nucleolar RNA Z159/U59". It matches the Rfam family "Small nucleolar RNA Z159/U59". Rfam says of the family: This family consists of several snoRNA Z159 or U59 sequences which are members of the C/D class of snoRNA which contain the C (UGAUGA) and D (CUGA) box motifs. This family seems to be found exclusively in rice. The record is from Rfam by way of RNAcentral. Lineage: Eukaryota; Viridiplantae; Chlorophyta; Trebouxiophyceae; Chlorellales; Chlorellaceae.
GAGCUCGGUGAUGUUACACAAAACACUUUCGUUCUACCAAUUAGACACCCGUCUGUGUGGAAAAGUUUUUGGAGACCUGAACUGAGAGCUU